This 467-nucleotide ribosomal RNA is filed under the name uncultured bacterium. Its description in RNAcentral is "partial 16S ribosomal RNA". It matches the Rfam family "Bacterial small subunit ribosomal RNA", at positions 28 to 506 of the family's 1533-position model. The record is from RNAcentral.
GACGAACGCUGGCGGCGUGCUUAACACAUGCAAGUCGAACGGUGAAGCUCCAGCUUGCUGGAGUGGAUCAGUGGCGAACGGGUGAGUAACACGUGAGCAACCUGCCCCUGACUCUGGAAUAAGCGCUGGAAACGGCGUCUAAUACUGGAUACGAGAAGGGUCCGCAUGGGCACUUUCUGGAAAGUUUUUCGGUUGGGGAUGGGCUCGCGGCCUAUCAGCUUGUUGGUGAGGUAAUGGCUCACCAAGGCGACGACGGAUAGCCGGCCUGAGAGGGCGACCGGCCACACUGGGACUGAGACACGGCCCAGACUCCUACGGGAGGCAGCAGUGGGGAAUAUUGCACAAUGGGCGAAAGCCUGAUGCAGCGACGCCGCGUGAGGGAUGACGGCCUUCGGGUUGUAAACCUCUUUCAGCAGGGAAGAAGCGAAAGUGACGGUACCUGCAGAAGAAGCACCGGCUAACUACGU